This 371-nucleotide ribosomal RNA is filed under the name uncultured bacterium. RNAcentral's name for it is "bacterial SSU rRNA". It matches the Rfam family "Bacterial small subunit ribosomal RNA", at positions 527 to 896 of the family's 1533-position model. The record is from RNAcentral.
GGAGGGUGCGAGCGUUAAUCAGAAUUACUGGGCGUAAAGCGCACGUAGGCGGUUGGGUAAGUCGGAUGUGAAAGCCCUGGGCUUAACCUGGGAACUGCAUUCGAUACUGCCCGGCUAGAGUAUGGGAGAGGGAAGCGGAAUUUCCGGUGUAGCGGUGAAAUGCGUAGAUAUCGGAAGGAACACCAAUGGCGAAGGCAGCUUCCUGGCCCAAUACUGACGCUCAGGUGCGAAAGCGUGGGGAUCAAACAGGAUUAGAUACCCUGGUAGUCCACGCUGUAAACGAUGAGAACUAGAUGUUGGGAGGGUUUUGCCUCUCAGUGUCGCAGCUAACGCGCUAAGUUCUCCGCCUGGGGAGUACGGCCGCAAGGUUG